CUCCUACGGGAGGCAGCAGUAGGGAAUCUUCGGCAAUGGGGGGAACCCUGACCGAGCAACGCCGCGUGAGUGAAGAAGGUUUUCGGAUCGUAAAGCUCUGUUGUAAGAGAAGAACGGGUGUGAGAGUGGAAAGUUCACACUGUGACGGUAUCUUACCAGAAAGGGACGGCUAACUACGUGCCAGCAGCCGCGGUAAUACGUAGGUCCCGAGCGUUGUCCGGAUUUAUUGGGCGUAAAGCGAGCGCAGGCGGUUAGAUAAGUCUGAAGUUAAAGGCUGUGGCUUAACCAUAGUAUGCUUUGGAAACUGUUUAACUUGAGUGCAGAAGGGGAGAGUGGAAUUCCAUGUGUAGCGGUGAAAUGCGUAGAUAUAUGGAGGAACACCGGUGGCGAAAGCGGCUCUCUGGUCUGUAACUGACGCUGAGGCUCGAAAGCGUGGGGAGCAAACAGGAUUAGAUACCCUGGUAGUCCACGCCGUAAACGAUGAGUGCUAGGUGUUAGGCCCUUUCCGGGGCU
RNAcentral lists this ribosomal RNA (513 nucleotides) under uncultured bacterium. RNAcentral's name for it is "bacterial SSU rRNA". It matches the Rfam family "Bacterial small subunit ribosomal RNA", at positions 336 to 840 of the family's 1533-position model. The record is from RNAcentral.